RNAcentral lists this long non-coding RNA (204 nucleotides) under Capsella rubella. RNAcentral describes it as "long non-coding RNA (CRUB_LNC000376)". The record is from RNAcentral. Lineage: Eukaryota; Viridiplantae; Streptophyta; Magnoliopsida; Brassicales; Brassicaceae.
CCAAAUGGGCUAAGAACUCGGAAACAUUGCGUUGAACCAGUAAAUGGCUUGUCUAGUGUUGUUUGGGGUAAUAAUAUGUUAGAAUACAAUGAAUUUGAUUGAUUACCAGUGCUAGAGAUGCAUGAAGAGUGUUUAGAAGAGUGUAGAAAAACUUGUUGAAAUUUAGGGCGAGAUGAGCUAAGAACCCACAACCAUUGCUUUCAA